UCUUUGAGAGAAAUAGUAACACUAUUAAGUAACAAUCUGUUAAAGAGAGAUUUACAUCUUUGCAUUGCCUUCAAAUAUAUGCAAAUUGUUGGAUACCCCCUUAUCUGUUGUAAGCAUUACUACUAGCAGCUUGGGUAACUUUAAUAAAAUCAAGAUACCUGAUGGUCUGAUCCCGUUGUUCUACCAUAGCUACCUUAUAUAUUUUACAUUCCCGAUUACAGAAUAAUAGACUAUACCAGGGCCAAGGUAUAUUCUACUCCAGCUACAACAUAAUACAGGCUAUACCAGUGCAAAAAAUACUAAAUACAGUCUCUUUCUUGCAGCAAGCCUAAGAGUUCAACUGAAGCUUAGACCAGCUGAGAUAUGAUUAUUCUUACAUAGAUGUUAAUCUUAGAAGAGUGGGACCUUCCAAUCUUCAAUAUAGAGCUUAUUUCAAGUGAUUGGCUGUUCUGAAUUAUGUUAGCUGAGCUCUUGUGCAAAAUGCAAGUGCAAUAAGUUUAGGCUGCACAACCUGUAAUGUACCUGUAGAUGUAGUCAUAUUUUUGGACGUUCAAGCAUAGUUUCCUUGGCUCAGCUGAGAGAAGACUGGACUCACAUUUUUUAUAAAAAUAGUACACGUUAUUUCUUUGACCAAACCAUUGUACACUUUGCUAAAAGCAUAUAUACAUCUUAGUUUUAUGUUGUAAAA
Long non-coding RNA from Lolium perenne, 688 nucleotides. RefSeq lists it as uncharacterized. NCBI's taxonomy places the organism in Eukaryota, Viridiplantae, Streptophyta, Magnoliopsida, Poales, Poaceae. The record is from RefSeq and is a predicted model, not a curated record.